RNAcentral lists this long non-coding RNA (1230 nucleotides) under Anneissia japonica. Its description in RNAcentral is "uncharacterized LOC117103864, transcript variant X2". The record is from RNAcentral. Lineage: Eukaryota; Metazoa; Echinodermata; Crinoidea; Comatulida; Comatulidae.
GUUAGUUAUUUUAUUGGUAGAAACUAAUAUUUCACAACGGUAUAAAUAAUACCUUCCAUGAUAAUUUGCAUAAGACUCUUAAUUUUGCUAGUGUAAGUGAAUCAAUAAAAUUGUUAAUUUAAAAUCGUAUUAAAUAGAAUAGUUCUAAUUUCUAUAAAUUAAGGACAUAUUUAUUAAGCCCCCUUUCUACAUGUAACUUAUUGCUUCUUUCAGUUCACAGUUCGCUUAAUUUGUUUACAUUUAGAAAUAUAAAAACCUAUUUACUUCAAGAAUAAUUAUUAAAUUUGCCUUAUUUUCCAAACUUCGCGCCUUUGAUAUAUUUUAAAUUAGCGCUACAUAUCUGAUACUAUAUGCUAUUGCAGAUAAGCCCAGGAAUGCUACACCGUUAAUUACGGUAAGGUCAUUCUGAUAAAAAUGUAUAAUAAUACUCUGUAUACAUUCUGUAACUAUUGUAUUGUAACAUAAAUAGUUAUAAUUCAAAUAUUGUACGGUAACAUAGGCCUAUUUUGGUUUGUUUUGUAAUAGUAUUCUAACAUUGCACUGGCAUUGGCACAAUGUAGUUUCAAUCAUUUAUACUUUCUGAUUCUGAUUUAGAAUAAAUUAAAAAUAAUGGUUUACAGAUAUGUAAAACUUGGUUUGCCGUUUUGUGCACAAAUCGUUUAAAUUUACAUUUAAUUUAAUUGUGUUUUGAGUCGUGUAUAAAUUUAAGAUUCCUAUUUGCAAUAAUUUCCACAUUAGUGAUUUCAACACAAACCAAAAACACGUUUACUAAAACACGUUAGGAUUAGAGUGUAAAUGUCUUUUUUUUUUUAGGGAAAAUCAAUGAUAAUUAUACGAUAAGGCAUUUUCCACUGCACAGGGAUACACAAUGGAUAUCCAAAAAUUAUCAACUACAUUCAUUGUGAGUAUUUUAAUUCGUGUGAGUUGGUUGGUGCGAGGCCAGGGAGUAUCCAUUUGAGGUAGAAUGACUAAUCGUACUUCGAAGAAACAAUUGGCAUACUUCGAGAAUUGGGACAAGGUUCGUCAAGUGUCUAGCAAUAUCAUUGCACGAUAGCCGGGAUUUCGGAAUCAUCUUAGUGAUAUUUGUUCCUGGAUUAAUUCAUUACAUCAUUGUUCUUUAGUCAAUAUUACAAUGUUAAUGUAAAUAGUUCGAUUGUAUGUACAAUAUUUACUAUAAUAGUGCUCUAAACUAAUAAAUUGAUAAAUUAUUAUUAUUAUAUUUAUAAUCAA